UACAAGAUAUUUACAAUAAGCAGACCUCAGUGCAAGAAAGUGUCGUUCCAACACUGAAAAGGUCAAAGGUCAACUUUAACAUUAAAAGGUGUUCAAACAAGUACAAGAUAUUUACAAUAAGCAGACCUCAGUGCAAGAAAGUGUCGUUCCAACACUGAAAAGGUCAAAGGUGAACUUUAACAUUAAAAGGUGUUCAAACAAGUACAAGAUAUUUACAAUAAGCAGACCUCAGUGCCAGAAAGUGUCUUUCCAACACAGAAAAGGUCAAAGGUCAACUUUAACAUUAAAAGGUGUAAAAACAAGUACAAGAUAUUUACAAUAAGCAGACCUCAGUGCAAGAAAGUGUCUUUCCAACACUGAAAAGGUUAAAGGUCAAGUUUAAAGGUGUAAAAACAAGUACAGGAUAUUUACAAUAAGCAGACCUCAGUGCAAGAAAGUGUCUUUCCAACACUGAAAAGGUCAAAGGUCAACUUUAAAGGUGUAAAAACAAGUACAGGAUAUUUACAAUAAGUAGACCUCAGUGCAAGAAAGUGUCUUUCUAACACUGAAAAGGUCAAAGGUCAACUUUAACAUUAAAAGGUGUAAAAACAAGAACAAGAUAUUUACAAUAAGCAGACCUCAGUGCAAGAAAGUGUCUUUCCAACACUGAAAAGGUCAAAGGUCAACUUUAAAGGUGUAAAAACAAGUACAGGAUAUUUACAAUAAGUAGACCUCAGUGCAAGAAAGUGUCUUUCCAACACUGAAAAGGUUAAAGGUCAAGUUUAAAGGUGUAAAAACAAGUACAGGAUAUUUACAAUAAGCAGACCUCAGUGCAAGAAAGUGUCUUUCCAACACUGAAAAGGUCAAAGGUGAACUUUAACAUUAAAAGGUGUUCAAACAAGUACAAGAUAUUUACAAUAAGCAGACCUCAGUGCAAGAAAGUGUUGUUCCAACACUGAAAAGGUUAAAGGUCAACUUUAAAGGUGUAAAAACAAGUACAGGAUAUUUACAAUAAGCAGACCUCAGCGCAAGAAAGU
Molecule: long non-coding RNA, 1016 nt
Organism: Oreochromis aureus
Lineage: Eukaryota; Metazoa; Chordata; Actinopteri; Cichliformes; Cichlidae
Source: Ensembl